AGGGUAUAGACCCGAAACCCGGUGAUCUAGCCAUGGGCAGGUUGAAGGUUGGGUAACACUAACUGGAGGACCGAACCGACUAAUGUUGAAAAAUUAGCGGAUGACCUGUGGCUGGGGGUGAAAGGCCAAUCAAACCGGGAGAUAGCUGGUUCUCCCCGAAAGCUAUUUAGGUAGCGCCUCGUGAAUUCAUCUCCGGGGGUAGAGCACUGUUUCGGCUAGGGGGCCAUCCCGGCUUACCAACCCGAUGCAAACUGCGAAUACCGGAGAAUGUUAUCACGGGAGACACACGGCGGGUGCUAACGUCCGUCGUGAAGAGGGAAACAACCCAGACCGCCAGCUAAGGUCCCAAAGUCAUGGUUAAGUGGGAAACGAUGUGGGAAGGCCCAGACAGCCAGGAUGUUGGCUUAGAAGCAGCCAUCAUUUAAAGAAAGCGUAAUAGCUCACUGGUCGAGUCGGCCUGCGCGGAAGAUGUAACGGGGCUAAACCAUGCACCGAAGCUGCGGCAGCGAACGUAUCACCCAAGACAACUUUACGGAGUUGACGAUUGACGGAGCGAAGCGACGUCAAAGCGUUCAUUAAAGUCGAGUUGGCUUAGGGAUACGUUCGUUGGGUAGGGGAGCGUUCUGUAAGCCUGUGAAGGUGUGUCGUGAGGCAUGCUGGAGGUAUCAGAAGUGCGAAUGCUGACAUAAGUAACGAUAAAGCGGGUGAAAAGCCCGCUCGCCGGAAGACCAAGGGUUCCUGUCCAACGUUAAUCGGGGCAGGGUGAGUCGACCCCUAAGGCGAGGCCGAAAGGCGUAGUCGAUGGGAAACGGGUUAAUAUUCCCGUACUUGGUGUUACUGCGAAGGGGGGACGGAGAAGGCUAUGUUGGCCGGGCGACGGUUGUCCCGGUUUAAGCGUGUAGGUGUGUGUUCCAGGUAAAUCCGGUU
RNAcentral lists this ribosomal RNA (927 nucleotides) under Salmonella enterica. Its description in RNAcentral is "partial 23S ribosomal RNA". It matches the Rfam family "Bacterial large subunit ribosomal RNA", at positions 704 to 1547 of the family's 2925-position model. The record is from RNAcentral. Lineage: Bacteria; Pseudomonadati; Pseudomonadota; Gammaproteobacteria; Enterobacterales; Enterobacteriaceae.